CUCCAAUUCGAGUACUUCCAGAGCUUCCUCUCUUUUUAUCUUCAUCGUGUCAAUACUCUUGUGGUGUGCAGCCGAUCAGAGUCGUGGACAAAACUAGUCAAGGAAUGAAUCUGAGUCAAAGCCCCGGUCCUAUGUCAGCGAUCUCCAGCGAAUGAUCCUUCAGCACAUGUAUCUCAAGUCAUCUGCACCUAUUUCGACGAUCACUUACGUCUACAGCAAACGCAUUGCUCGAACAGCCAUGCCUGAUGGAAAGAA
Molecule: long non-coding RNA, 255 nt
Filed under: Coccomyxa subellipsoidea
Lineage: Eukaryota; Viridiplantae; Chlorophyta; Trebouxiophyceae; Coccomyxaceae
Description: long non-coding RNA (CSUB_LNC000430)
Source: RNAcentral